Molecule: ribosomal RNA, 604 nt
Filed under: uncultured bacterium
Lineage: Bacteria
Description: bacterial SSU rRNA
Rfam family: Bacterial small subunit ribosomal RNA (bases 1-523)
Source: RNAcentral
CCUACGGAGGCAGCAGUGGGGAAUAUUGCACAAUGGGCGCAAGCCUGAUGCAGCGACGCCGCGUGAGGGAUGACGGCCUUCGGGUUGUAAACCUCUUUCAGUAGGGAAGAAGCGAAAGUGACGGUACCUGCAGAAGAAGCGCCGGCUAACUACGUGCCAGCAGCCGCGGUAAUACGUAGGGCGCAAGCGUUAUCCGGAAUUAUUGGGCGUAAAGAGCUCGUAGGCGGUUUGUCGCGUCUGCCGUGAAAGUCCGGGGCUCAACUCCGGAUCUGCGGUGGGUACGGGCAGACUAGAGUGAUGUAGGGGAGACUGGAAUUCCUGGUGUAGCGGUGAAAUGCGCAGAUAUCAGGAGGAACACCGAUGGCGAAGGCAGGUCUCUGGGCAUUAACUGACGCUGAGGAGCGAAAGCAUGGGGAGCGAACAGGAUUAGAUACCCUGGUAGUCCAUGCCGUAAACGUUGGGCACUAGGUGUGGGGGACAUUCCACGUUUUCCGCGCCGUAGCUAACGCAUUAAGUGCCCGCCUGGGGAGGUACGGCCGCGAGACGUAAACGUACGAAGAAGUUAGUAGCGUUGAGACGNGCGAGGCGACGACGAGGGAGGAGG